This 247-nucleotide ribosomal RNA is filed under the name uncultured bacterium. RNAcentral's name for it is "partial 16S ribosomal RNA". It matches the Rfam family "Bacterial small subunit ribosomal RNA", at positions 524 to 770 of the family's 1533-position model. The record is from RNAcentral.
UACGUAGGGUGCAAGCGUUGUCCGGAAUUAUUGGGCGUAAAGAGCUUGUAGGCGGUUUGUCGCGUCUGCUGUGAAAUUUCGGGGCUCAACCCCGAACUUGCAGUGGGUACGGGCCAGACUAGAGUGUGGUAGGGGAGACUGGAAUUCCUGGUGUAGCGGUGAAAUGCGCAGAUAUCAGGAGGAACACCGAUGGCGAAGGCAGCUCGCUGGGACGGUACUGACGCUGAGGCGCGAAGCGUGGGGAGCA